AAAAGAGAAAAGAUAGUCAAUAAGUGUGGUCCAGGAGAUAGUGAGCAUUUUAUGAAGUCAACCUCAAGACAGAAGUUUCUAUACUUGCACAGGUAGCUCAUUCUGGCCUCUGCCACAAGAACUCAGUACAAAAAGGAAGAAGUUGGGUUUUUUAUUUGUGAUUUCAAGGGAGCUACUGCGUUAAUGAAAUAAUGUCUGCAGUUCUUUUCCAAUUCUGAGUGUGCUGUGGGAACCAGGGACGAAACAUCAAUGGAGAGCCAACAGGCAGAGGCCACCCACUCCAAACCAACCCGAAAAUUUUCACCUCAGUCUGGUUCAGUAUUAGAGUUGGAGGUGGAACGCCUACCACAGCAUGGCUUUUGCCAAGCGGUGCCAUGUCUGACCCGGGAUUCAAACUGGUGAAUCUCGGGCCACCGAGAAGCGGAACGUGCGAACUUAACCGCUGCGCCACCGGGCUGGCCCCCUCCUUACAUGUUUUAAAUUCUACCCUUCUACCAGAGAUCUUGGUUUAAUCUGGAAGAGAAAUGAUAACUCCACCCUUACCCUCUUUUGAGACCCAUGAGAAAACGUACUGAAACCAAAAUGCAAGUACAGGAGAACUGUGGUGUGACGGUGAAACGAGGCACGGGCCACAGUGUCUCCAGUCAGCUCAGCUUCUGCUCCCAAUCUUGUCAGCAAGUGCUUUGCUGUCAAGAGCUUCAGCCAAAUGUUUAAUGUAAGUGUCCACAGUGAUUAAGCCCAAAGAAAUGGAUUUUAAAAAAACCUCCUUAAAAGCUAUAACUA
Non-coding RNA from Equus caballus (horse), 783 nucleotides. Lineage: Eukaryota; Metazoa; Chordata; Mammalia; Perissodactyla; Equidae. The record is from RefSeq and is a predicted model, not a curated record.